Molecule: ribosomal RNA, 268 nt
Filed under: Enterobacter roggenkampii
Lineage: Bacteria; Pseudomonadati; Pseudomonadota; Gammaproteobacteria; Enterobacterales; Enterobacteriaceae
Also listed under: 1 other name
Description: partial 23S ribosomal RNA
Rfam family: Bacterial large subunit ribosomal RNA
Source: RNAcentral
GGUUAAGCGACUAAGCGUACACGGUGGAUGCCCUGGCAGUCAGAGGCGAUGAAGGACGUGCUAAUCUGCGAAAAGCGCCGGCGAGGUGAUAUGAACCUUUGACCCGGCGAUGUCCGAAUGGGGAAACCCAGUGUGAUUCGUCACACUAUCGUUAACUGAAUACAUAGGUUAACGAGGCGAACCGGGGGAACUGAAACAUCUAAGUACCCCGAGGAAAAGAAAUCAACCGAGAUUCCCCCAGUAGCGGCGAGCGAACGGGGAGCAGCCC